CAAUAGCGUAUAUUAAAGUUGUUGCGGUUAAAAAGCUCGUAGUUGGAUUUCUGCUGAGGAUGACCGGUCCGCCCUCCGGGUGAGUAUCUGGCUCAGCCUUGGCAUCUUCCUGAAGAACGUAACUGCACUUGACUGUGUGGUGCGGUAUUUAGGACAUUUACUUUGAGGAAAUUAGAGUGUUUCAAGCAAGCGCACGCCUUGAAUACAUUAGCAUGGAAUAAUAAGAUAGGACCUCGGUUCUAUUUUGUUGGUUUCUAGAGCUGAGGUAAUGAUUGAUAGGGAUAGUUGGGGGCAUUCGUAUUUAACUGUCAGAGGUGGAAUUCUUGGAUUUGUUAAAGACGGACUACUGCGAAAGCAUUUGCCAAGGAUGUUUUCAUUGA
RNAcentral lists this ribosomal RNA (380 nucleotides) under uncultured eukaryote. RNAcentral's name for it is "partial 18S ribosomal RNA". It matches the Rfam family "Eukaryotic small subunit ribosomal RNA", at positions 592 to 976 of the family's 1831-position model. The record is from RNAcentral.